CGGUAAUUCCAGCUCCAAUAGCGUAUACUAAAGUUAUUGCAGUUAAAAAGCUCGUAGUUGGAUUUCUGCGGGGACGGAGCGGCCGGACGCAACUUGCGUCUCGAGCUAGCGCUUUCCCCGCAUCCUGCCGCGAACCGUGCUACCAUUAGUUUGGUGGCGCUGGGGAUCGGCUCGAUUACUUUGAGAAAAAUAGAGUGUUCAAAGCAGGCCACACGCCUUGAAUAAGUUAGCAUGGAAUAAUGACUAAGGACUUCGGUUCUAUUUUGUUGGUGUUCGGGACUGAAGUAAUGAUUGAUAGGGACAGUUGGGGCGGUCUGUAUUCCAAAGCGAGAGGUGAAAUUCUUAGACCUUCGGAAGACAAACAGCUGCGAAAGCGUUCCGCAAGGAUGUUCCCUUUGAUCAAGAACGAAAGUUGGGGGAUCGAAGACGAUCAGAUACCGUCGUAGUCUCAACUAUAAACUAUACCAGCUAGGGAUCGGCCAACGUUUAAUUAUUCGACUUGGUCGGCACCUUAUGAGAAAUCAAAGCAUCUGGGUUCCGGGGGGAGUAUGGUCGCAAGGCUGAAACUUAAAGGAAUUGACGGAAGGGCACCACCAGCCGUGGAGCCCGUGGCUUAAUUUGACUCAACACGGGAAAACUUACCAGGUCCAGACAUAGGAAGGAUUGACAGAUUGAUAGCUCUUUCUUGAUUCUGUGGGUGGUGGUGCAUGGCCGUUUUUAGUUGGUGGAGUGAUUUGUCUGCUUAAUUGCGUUAACGAACGAGACCCCAGCCUGCUAAAUAGCGCGGCCGAGCUUUGCUCGGUGCGAGCUUCUUAGAGGGACCAUGAUGCGCGAUAGCACAAGGAAGUUUGGGGCAACAACAGGUCUGUGAUGCCCUUAGAUGUUCUGGUCCGCACACGGGCUACACUGGCGCCUGCAACGAGCAUAUCAGCUGGCCCGAGAGGGUCUUGGCUAAUCUUUUGAACCGGCGCCGUGCUUGGGAUUGACCUUUGCAAUUGUUGGUCAUGCAACGAGGAAUGCCUUGUAAACGCGAGUCAUCAGCUCGCAUUGAAUACGUCCCUGCCCUUUGUACACACCGCCCGUCGCUCCUACCGAUGAAUGUUCCGAUGAAAUUUUCGGAGAGCGCCAGAGAACGGGGCUCUGCCUUGCAGAUCUGGAGGCUCAAAGUCACUUAAAUCUGAACAUUUCGAGGAAGGAGAAGUCGUAACAAGGUAACC
Molecule: ribosomal RNA, 1217 nt
Filed under: uncultured Rhizaria
Lineage: Eukaryota
Description: SSU rRNA
Rfam family: Eukaryotic small subunit ribosomal RNA
Source: RNAcentral